RNAcentral lists this ribosomal RNA (463 nucleotides) under Eggerelloides sp. RNAcentral describes it as "partial small subunit ribosomal RNA". It matches the Rfam family "Eukaryotic small subunit ribosomal RNA", at positions 1179 to 1470 of the family's 1831-position model. Lineage: Eukaryota; Foraminifera; Textulariida; Eggerellidae. The record is from RNAcentral.
GAGCAUGUGGCUUAAUUUGACUCAACGCGGGAAAUCUUACCGGGUCCGGACACACUGAGGAUUGACAGGCAAUAAAUUAAAAUAUAUUAUAUAUUUUAUGUUAAAUAUGCUAGUCCUUUCAUGAUUAUGUGAUAGGUGGUGCAUGGCCGUUCUUAGUUCGUGGAGUGAUCUGUCUGCUUAAUUGCGUUUCACUAAGGGCUUAUUAAUUUAACGUGUGUUGUUAGGCGUUAACUUUGACCCCUAAUUUUAAUUAAUUAGUGCGUGUCUUAGUUUUUAUUGCUUUUAACUCACACAAUUAAGUCCUGAAAGCAACGAACGUGACCGCAACCUCUUGUUGCCUUUAUAUUUAUUUAUUUACGCCUCGCGCGUAAAAAAAUUUAAAAAAAAGGCUUUUUAAACUAGAGGGACCGCUGUAACUUUUUUAAACCAGAGGAAGGUUGCGGCAAUAACAGGUCUGUCAUGC